RNAcentral lists this ribosomal RNA (310 nucleotides) under uncultured Neisseriaceae bacterium. RNAcentral's name for it is "bacterial SSU rRNA". It matches the Rfam family "Bacterial small subunit ribosomal RNA", at positions 47 to 359 of the family's 1533-position model. Lineage: Bacteria; Pseudomonadati; Pseudomonadota; Betaproteobacteria; Neisseriales; Neisseriaceae. The record is from RNAcentral.
CCUUACACAUGCAAGUCGAACGGCAGCGCGGACUUCGGUCUGGCGGCGAGUGGCGAACGGGUGAGUAACAUAUCGGAACGUGCCCUGGAGUGGGGGAUAACUAGUCGAAAGACUAGCUAAUACCGCAUACGAUCUACGGAUGAAAGUGGGGGAUCGCAAGACCUCAUGCUCGUGGAGCGGCCGAUAUCUGAUUAGCUAGUUGGUGGGGUAAAGGCCUACCAAGGCAUCGAUCAGUAGCUGGUCUGAGAGGACGACCAGCCACACUGGGACUGAGACACGGCCCUGACUCCUACGGGAGGCAGCAGAAGGG